GCGGCGGUAGCUCAAUGGCAGAGCCGAAGCUUCCCAAGCUUAAGACGCGGGUUCGAUUCCCGUCUGCCGCUCCA
Molecule: transfer RNA, 74 nt
Filed under: Oxalobacter formigenes
Lineage: Bacteria; Pseudomonadati; Pseudomonadota; Betaproteobacteria; Burkholderiales; Oxalobacteraceae
Also listed under: 1 other name
Description: tRNA-Gly
Rfam family: tRNA
About the family: Transfer RNA (tRNA) molecules are approximately 80 nucleotides in length. Their secondary structure includes four short double-helical elements and three loops (D, anti-codon, and T loops).
Source: RNAcentral